RNAcentral lists this ribosomal RNA (253 nucleotides) under uncultured bacterium. RNAcentral's name for it is "partial 16S ribosomal RNA". It matches the Rfam family "Bacterial small subunit ribosomal RNA", at positions 524 to 776 of the family's 1533-position model. The record is from RNAcentral.
UACGGAGGGUGCAAGCGUUAUCCGGAUUCACUGGGUUUAAAGGGUGCGUAGGCGGGCAGAUAAGUCAGUGGUGAAAUCUCCGAGCUUAACUCGGAAACUGCCGUUGAUACUAUUUGUCUUGAAUACUGUGGAGGUAAGCGGAAUAUGUCAUGUAGCGGUGAAAUGCUUAUCUAUGACAUAGAACACCAAUUGCGAAGGCAUCUUACUACACAGCGAUGCACGCUGAGGCACGAAAGCGUGGGGAUCAAACAGG